UUUAUGGAGAGUUUGAUCCUGGCUCAGGAUGAACGCUGGCGGCGUGCCUAAUACAUGCAAGUCGAGCGGACGGACGAGAAGCUUGCUUCUCUGAUGUUAGCGGCGGACGGGUGAGUAA
This 118-nucleotide ribosomal RNA is filed under the name Staphylococcus aureus. Its description in RNAcentral is "partial 16S ribosomal RNA". It matches the Rfam family "Bacterial small subunit ribosomal RNA", at positions 1 to 113 of the family's 1533-position model. Lineage: Bacteria; Bacillati; Bacillota; Bacilli; Caryophanales; Staphylococcaceae. The record is from RNAcentral.